This 231-nucleotide long non-coding RNA is filed under the name Homo sapiens (human). RNAcentral describes it as "HSALNT0373344". The record is from RNAcentral. Lineage: Eukaryota; Metazoa; Chordata; Mammalia; Primates; Hominidae.
CCAGGCUGGAGUGCAAUGGCGCAAUCUCGCCUCACUGCAACCUCCACCUCCCGGGUCCAAGCCAUUCUCCUGCCUCAGCCUCCCGAGUAGCUGGGACUACAGGUACCCGCCACCACGCCUGGCUAAUUUUUUUGUAUUUUUAGUAGAGACGGGGUUUCACCAUGUUGGCCAGGAUGGUCUCGAUCUCCUGACCUCGUGAUCCACCUGCCUCGGCCUCCCAAAGCGCUGGGA